Molecule: long non-coding RNA, 460 nt
Filed under: Prunus persica (peach)
Lineage: Eukaryota; Viridiplantae; Streptophyta; Magnoliopsida; Rosales; Rosaceae
Description: long non-coding RNA (PPER_LNC006993)
Source: RNAcentral
CAAGGCUAGGGACAAAGUGUAUUUGCCAAACCACGAGGCAAAGCAAUUCGGUCUGGUACAGUCGGUCCCUAUGCUCCUACUAUCUAAAAAUCGAUUGUCAACCUGGAGAGCAAACAUCGGUUACAACCAUGACUUGGCCGAGAUCUCCUUCUAACUUCAGGAGGAAUGACAUUCCUUCCCCUUGUUCCUUGGAGACGGUGUAACGCCAUGGAUGAGGACUGCAAGGCUUAGUGGGACGAUCAUAACCCGGCCAUGCUCUUAUGGUCAAGGAAGCCCUAUGAGGUGCCUUGGCUAAUGCAGAUUGGGAUCCCAUUCCUCACAAAAGGAGUAGGGCGAGAAGGGCCCCGGCUGAGAACUUGUCCCCUGUGCUGCUACCUACAGUUGCCGCUCAGCGUUGGCCAACAACACCGAUACCUUCAGCUCUGUCAAUCUUUUGGCCUACACGCUCGGUGCCUUCACC